GAGGAAAAUAGGAUCUUUUUGGUAUUGGACUACGGUUAUGAGUAAUACAUUCAUUCCUUUUCACCUUUAGUUAAUGACGAUUUGUGGUUAAUUGGAGGCAUGGCAAGCUAACAGGAGGGGUCUUCUUUCAAAUUUAAUUAACAUAAUUCAAAUCUAUCCAUAAAAAGAGGCAAGAUUUUGUAUAUAAUUUUGAUAAAAUCUUGUCUGUGAUAUGCAAAAAAAACAAAAAAGAAUAGGUCUCUCUCUUCAUAAUUUAUUCCUUACCCUAUCAAGUAUUUUAUUUAUGGUGUGCUUCUCUUAAUAACAACCAGUUUUUUCUAUUACAUUCCGCGGGAAGACAAGGUCCUAAGGAACUCAGAAUAAAGAGAUUCAAAGUAGAAGGGAAUGACUUUGACAGCAAAGGAAAGAAGAUAUCCACAUUGUUUAUACAAUUAGGGGUAAAAAUGGAUUGAAUAAAAACCAGUCGAAUUUAUUUUUGUAUUUGAAUUUAUCAAGAUAUAAAUAAAAAUUCGAGCAUUCGAUUAAUAUUUGUAUUUAUAUUAUAUUUGUCAAAGAAAAAGCACCCGAUUCAUCUCUAAAUAUUCAAUUGUAUUUGUAACUCUAUUUAGUUUUAUAUAAUAUUCAUAAACUUCUAAAAGAAAUAAAUAACCAUAUUAAUACGAUAUUAACUUAGUUUAUUAUCUACUUAGUAAUAUUUUUAAUUAUAUAAUCAUAAAGUUUAA
This 722-nucleotide long non-coding RNA is filed under the name Phoenix dactylifera (date palm). RNAcentral's name for it is "long non-coding RNA (PDAC_LNC018977)". Lineage: Eukaryota; Viridiplantae; Streptophyta; Magnoliopsida; Arecales; Arecaceae. The record is from RNAcentral.